CUACGUGCCAGCAGCCGCGGUAAUACGGGGGGUGCGAGCGUUAAUCGGAAUAACUGGGCGUAAAGGGCACGCAGGCGGUGACUUAAGUGAGAUGUGAAAGCCCCGAGCUUAACUUGGGAAUUGCAUUUCAUACUGGGUCGCUAGAGUACUUUAGGGAGGGGUAGAAUUCCACGUGUAGCGGUGAAAUGCGUAGAGAUGUGGAGGAAUACCGAAGGCGAAGGCAGCCCCUUGGGAAUGUACUGACGCUCAUGUGCGAAAGCGUGGGGAGCAAACAGGAUUAGAUACCCUGGUAGUCCACGCUGUAAACGAUGUCGAUUUGGGGAUUGGGCUUUGAGCUUGGUGCCCGUAGCUAACGUGAUAAAUCGACCGCCUGGGGAGUACGGCCGCAAGGUUAAAACUCAAAUGAAUUGACGGGGGCCCGCACAAGCGGUGGAGCAUGUGGUUUAAUUCGAUGCAACGCGAAGAACCUUACCUACUCUUGACA
Molecule: ribosomal RNA, 484 nt
Filed under: uncultured bacterium
Lineage: Bacteria
Description: bacterial SSU rRNA
Rfam family: Bacterial small subunit ribosomal RNA
Source: RNAcentral